Non-coding RNA from Potamilus streckersoni, 76 nucleotides. The record is from the annotation of a GenBank genome assembly. Lineage: Eukaryota; Metazoa; Mollusca; Bivalvia; Unionida; Unionidae.
GACCGCUUGGUGAUCCAGUGGUUAGAGCAUCCGCCUCGGAUGCGGGAGGUCGUGGGUUUGAACCCCAGCCAAGUCA